CCAGACUCCUACGGGAGGCAGCAGUGAGGAAUAUUGGUCAAUGGGCGGAAGCCUGAACCAGCCAAGUCGCGUGAGGGAAGAAGGCCCUGCGGGUCGCAGACCUCUUUGGACGGGGAGCAAGGCCGCCGACGUGUCGGCGGAAGGAGAGUACCCGUAGAACAAGCAUCGGCUAACUCCGUGCCAGCAGCCGCGGUAAUACGUAUGGUGCAAGCGUUAUCCGGAUUUACUGGGUGUAAAGGGAGCGCAGGCGGCGCGUUAAGCCUGGUGUGAAAGCCCGCGGCCCAACCGCGGGACUGCAUUGGGAACUGGCGCGCUGGAGUGCCGGAGGGGUAGGCGGAAUUCCUAGUGUAGCGGUGAAAUGCGUAGAUAUUAGGAGGAACACCAGUGGCGAAGGCGGCCUACUGGACGGUGACUGACGCUGAGGCUCGAAAGCGUGGGGAGCAAACAGGAUUAGAUACCCUUGUAAC
RNAcentral lists this ribosomal RNA (467 nucleotides) under uncultured bacterium. RNAcentral's name for it is "bacterial SSU rRNA". It matches the Rfam family "Bacterial small subunit ribosomal RNA", at positions 331 to 794 of the family's 1533-position model. The record is from RNAcentral.